Gossypium hirsutum (cotton) is the source of this 87-nucleotide non-coding RNA. NCBI's taxonomy places the organism in Eukaryota, Viridiplantae, Streptophyta, Magnoliopsida, Malvales, Malvaceae. The record is from Rfam.
CACAUCAGCGCGAUUUGAUGACGUGGAAAAAAAUCGCGCCCUCUAGGACGUGAUUUGUUGCCACGUCAGCAAAUCGCGCUGACGUGG